GCAUCGGCAGGCGGACUCUCAACCACUGUGCCACCAGGGAAGCCCUACUAAUUAUUUUUAAUCCCACAUGAAAACUAAGUCUUAGGGCAAGAGGACUUGGUAUUCCCAGAGCUAGCGCUGCCCAGUUUGGGUGAUUCAGGUUGUCAUACUGAAGGGAAAAAAAGAGGCUAUUUUUUCUUUUACUCUGGUUUUUAGAACAGUACCAGGUAUCCUCCUAUCUCCAUUUUGGUGUAGCCUAGCUCCUGGGUAAACCUGGGCUAGGAGAAAGCAUUUCUGAACCAUAGUAAGAGGUGGCAUGUUAUAAAGCAGAAAGCAGUGGCUUGAUGUCUGUGUUGAGUUACGGGCUCUUCCACUUUCUAGCUGUGUGAUCUUGGGCAUUGUACUUCUAUUCUUUCAGCCUAGUCUCCACUCUGUAAAAAGGGGAUGAUAGUGAUGGUGAUACCACCUAACUCUCAGUUUCCUAGAAAGCUCUUUGGAGUGAGACAGAGGUAAAAAUUGCCACACAACCUUUAGGAGUAAAGAUGCCUGCGGAUUCCUUUGCAUCAAGGAGUCUAUUCCCUCAUCCAUGAAUCCCAAUUUUUAAUUUUUGUUCUUUUGCUUAGUGGCUCUGAAUUCAAUGUUUGUAGCAUGAAUAAAGUCUAGGAAAGCACUUCAGAGAGUGCCUGUCACAUGGUUAUGGUUUAAUAAAUAUUAGUUUCUUAUUUAAACAAAGCUUAAAAAUUAUUCGAUCAUCCUUCACCUUUAGAUCUAGUUUGUAGGUGCUAGUUAGACUUGGUACUCCAGAGGAAUUUGAGCCCUGGGAGCCCAGAGGAAGGAGAUUAAGCCUUGCCUUUGUGUUUUCUGUUCCCUGUUUCUGACUCCGUGACUGAAAGUCCAGAGGUGAGCAGAGCACUGUGAACUGAAUUCCCGUCUGGAAGUCUCACCUUUCCAGGGUCCGCUGCCACAGAGCUGGCUCAGGAAACUCUGGAAAUGAACUUUAUGCAGUGUGCAAUUUGACUCUGCCGUGCCAGCUGGAAUACACCUUUAGGAGCUGAGUAGCACUGUGCUAGGUACUGAAGACACGGUGGUGGACAAGACAGAGCUCCUGCCCGCGUGAAGCUUACAUCCUAGUGCUGGAAGGCAAUGAAAAGGUUUAAAGUGGCGGAUCCUGUCUUAAGACUAGGUCUUCACCUUGCAGACAGCAGAACCUGGGACUUCUUGGCCUCCAUAAUCACGCAGUGAGAAGAGAAGCCUGAGAAGAUGCUCCUGGCCUGAGGCAUUCUUUGUGUUGUGAUAUUUUCCUGUUUCUGUGAUGGCCUCAGUGUAUGAGCGUAUUGACUGAGGACCUUCAUAUGUUGAAAAGGUCAUGUCCCAGGAGAAAGGAAACGAGCCCCAAUGCUCUGCCUCAUCACUUCGAGGAAGAGAUGGCCAGAGAGAAUGAACCUCCUAUUCCUAUCCUGGGGCCUGCUAACCCUGAGAAACCACCUCCUUGGAAAGUGUUGUGGACUUCCUCAGUUUCUCCAAUGCAAACGAAUACUCACCAGUGCCACAGAGACAUAU
Molecule: long non-coding RNA, 1539 nt
Organism: Aethalodelphis obliquidens (Pacific white-sided dolphin)
Lineage: Eukaryota; Metazoa; Chordata; Mammalia; Artiodactyla; Delphinidae
Exons: 5
Source: RefSeq, a predicted model, not a curated record